AACGAACGCUGGCGGCAGGCUUAACACAUGCAAGUCGAACGCAUCCUUCGGGGGGAGUGGCAGACGGGUGAGUAACGCGUGGGAACGUGCCCUUCAGUUCGGGAUAAACCAGGGAAACUUGGGCUACUGCCGGAUACGUGCGAGAGCAGAAAGAUUUAUCGCUGAAGGAUCGGCCCGCGUCUGAUUAGCUAGUUGGUGGGGUAAUGGCCCACCAAGGCGACGAUCAGUAGCUGGUCUGAGAGGAUGAUCAGCCACAUUGGGACUGAGACACGGCCCAAACUCCUACGGGAGGCAGCAGUGGGGAAUAUUGGACAAUGGGCGCAAGCCUGAUCCAGCCAUGCCGCGUGAGUGAUGAAGGCCUUAGGGUUGUAAAGCUCUUUCGUCCGGGACGAUAAUGACGGUACCGGAGGAAGAAGCCCCGGUUAACUUCGUGCCAGCAGCCGCAGUAA
Molecule: ribosomal RNA, 449 nt
Filed under: uncultured bacterium
Lineage: Bacteria
Description: partial 16S ribosomal RNA
Rfam family: Bacterial small subunit ribosomal RNA
Source: RNAcentral